AAUCAUGGCUCAGGACGAACGCUGGCGGCGUGCCUAACACAUGCAAGUCGAACGGGGAAUUUUAUUUCGGUAGAAUUCUUAGUGGCGAACGGGUGAGUAACGCGUAGGCAACCUGCCCUUUAGACGGGGACAACAUUCCGAAAGGAGUGCUAAUACCGGAUGUGAUCAUCUUGCCGCAUGGCAGGAUGAAGAAAGAUGGCCUCUACAAGUAAGCUAUCGCUAAAGGAUGGGCCUGCGUCUGAUUAG
Molecule: ribosomal RNA, 246 nt
Filed under: uncultured bacterium
Lineage: Bacteria
Description: partial 16S ribosomal RNA
Rfam family: Bacterial small subunit ribosomal RNA
Source: RNAcentral